AAAUACGUGUUUUCAAGGUCUAGAACAUCUUCAUGAUCAAUGGUGAGAUCACUUGAAUUGUGAGAUACACCAGUUUCGUUUUCAUUGUCUACUGCAAGAGUUAGGUCCAACGAGAGGCCGGACCCAACUUCGAUCCGAGGCUUUGUAGGUCUAUCUUCAUAUGAUAACCAACUUCCUUGGCGUUUCGCACUCUUUUCUUUGNCGGACCCAACUUCGAUCCGAGGCUUUGUAGGUCUAUCUUCAUAUGAUAACCAACUUCCUUGGCGUUUCGCACUCUUUUCUUUGACUAUGAGUCCUAACUGACAAUUGCCACUUGCUAUGGAGGCAAGCUUCUUUUCAUCAACAAAAUGACCAUCUUUAGGAUGGGUUGUCGACCAAU
Molecule: long non-coding RNA, 379 nt
Filed under: Olea europaea (common olive)
Lineage: Eukaryota; Viridiplantae; Streptophyta; Magnoliopsida; Lamiales; Oleaceae
Description: long non-coding RNA (OEUR_LNC006547)
Source: RNAcentral